UGGGGAAUAUUGGACAAUGGGCGCAAGCCUGAUCCAGCCAUGCCGCGUGAGUGAUGAAGGACCUAGGGUUGUAAAGCUCUUUCACCGGAGAAGAUAAUGACGGUAACCGGAGAAGAAGCCCCGGCUAACUUAGUGCCAGCAGCCGCGGUAAUACGAAGGGGGCUAGCGUUGUUCGGAUUUACUGGGCGUAAAGCGGACGUAGGCGGACUUUUAAGUCAGGGGUGAAAUCCCGGGGCUCAACCCCGGAACUGCCUUUGAUACUGGAAGUCUUGAGUAUGGUAGAGGUGAGUGGAAUUCCGAGUGUAGAGGUGAAAUUCGUAGAUAUUCGGAGGAACACCAGUGGCGAAGGCGGCUCACUGGACCAUUACUGACGCUGAGGUGCGAAAGCGUGGGGAGCAAACAGG
This 404-nucleotide ribosomal RNA is filed under the name Actinomycetes bacterium. RNAcentral's name for it is "Actinobacteria bacterium partial 16S ribosomal RNA". It matches the Rfam family "Bacterial small subunit ribosomal RNA", at positions 355 to 776 of the family's 1533-position model. Lineage: Bacteria; Bacillati; Actinomycetota; Actinomycetes. The record is from RNAcentral.